UGGCGUAGCGCGCAAAGCCUCGGCUUGCUAAGCCGAAGGUCCCGGGUUCGAUUCCCGG
This is a non-coding RNA of Habropoda laboriosa, 58 nucleotides long. The record is from Rfam. Lineage: Eukaryota; Metazoa; Arthropoda; Insecta; Hymenoptera; Apidae.